Mastomys coucha (southern multimammate mouse) is the source of this 748-nucleotide non-coding RNA. Lineage: Eukaryota; Metazoa; Chordata; Mammalia; Rodentia; Muridae. The record is from the annotation of a RefSeq genome assembly.
CUCAGGAGACACAGAACAGAGCAGGGAUGGGCAGUCAUAUUUGCAAACAGUCAUAUGGUGCAAGGCAGGUUAAACUUUAGUCUUGGCAACCUAAAACCAUCUAGAGCUAGGAGAUGAGAGGAAAGCAACCGCCUCGGAGAAAAGCAUGAAGGGGAUUUUCCCACACCUAGCCCUAUUUAUUUAGCACAGCCAUCUCUCCUUCCACUAAGCAGGCUGAGCCUAAAGGCAGAAGGGCACAGCCAGCAGUGUAUAUCCAAGAGUGCAGACUCUUGCUUUCUCACCAACAGGACCAGCAUCCUGAGAAGAAGGAUGGGGAACACUGCCCUCCCUGACUCUGCCUGGAGCACCACCCUGCUCUCCUGGGUUGCUGUCUGUCUCCUGGGAACAAGUUCAGCAAAUUCUGGGGUUUUCCAGUCUCCAAGACACAUAAUCAAAGAGAAGGGAGGAAGGUCCAUUUUGAAAUGUAUUCCCAUCUCUGGACAUAGCAAUGUAGCUUGGUACCAACAGACUCAGGGACAGGAACUAAAGUUCCUUAUUCAGCAUUAUGAAAAAAUGGAGAGAGAUAAGGGAUUCCUACCUAGCAGAUUCUCAGUCCAGCAGUUCAAUGACUAUCACUCUGAGAUGAACAUGAGUGCCUUGGAACUGGAGGACACUGCUGUAUACUUCUGUGCCAGUUCUCUCCACAGCCUUACAAAGCUACUGGCUUUCUGUAAUAUAAUCUUCCUGUCACAGCUGGAGACUUACUAGA